RNAcentral lists this ribosomal RNA (487 nucleotides) under uncultured bacterium. RNAcentral's name for it is "bacterial SSU rRNA". It matches the Rfam family "Bacterial small subunit ribosomal RNA", at positions 30 to 511 of the family's 1533-position model. The record is from RNAcentral.
AUUGAACGCUGGCGGCAUGCCUUACACAUGCAAGUCGAACGGUAACAGGGAGCUUGCUCCGCUGACGAGUGGCGAACGGGUGAGUAAUGUAUCGGAACGUACCAUUCAGUGGGGGAUAACGUAGCGAAAGUUACGCUAAUACCGCAUAUUCUGUGAGCAGGAAAGCAGGGGAUCGCAAGACCUUGCGCUGAUUGAGCGGCCGAUAUCAGAUUAGCUAGUUGGUGAGGUAAAGGCUCACCAAGGCGACGAUCUGUAGCGGGUCUGAGAGGAUGAUCCGCCACACUGGAACUGAGACACGGUCCAGACUCCUACGGGAGGCAGCAGUGGGGAAUUUUGGACAAUGGGGGCAACCCUGAUCCAGCCAUGCCGCGUGAGUGAAGAAGGCCUUCGGGUUGUAAAGCUCUUUCGGCCGGGAAAAAUCGCAUCAGUUAAUACCUGGUGUGGAUGAUGGUACCGGAAUAAGAAGCACCGGCUAACUACGUGACCG